UCCGUAGGUGAACCUGCGGAGGGAUCAUUGGUGGAACACGCCUCGCGGCGUACCCAGAAACCCUUUUGUGAACUUAUACCUUUUAUCGUUGCCUCGGCACGGCCCGGGGGGCGCUUCAGCCCCUCCCAGCCUCGCGGCUGGAGAAGACCUGCCGGUGGCCCAAUAAACUCUUGUUUUCUGAACGUAUCUCUUCUGAGUAACAAACAAAAAAAAAUGAAUCAAAACUUUCAACAACGGAUCUCUUGGUUCUGGCAUCGAUGAAGAACGCAGCGAAAUGCGAUAAGUAAUGUGAAUUGCAGAAUUCAGUGAAUCAUCGAAUCUUUGAACGCACAUUGCGCCCGCUGGUAUUCCAGCGGGCAUGCCUGUUCGAGCGUCAUUUCAACCCUCAAGCUCCCGUGCUUGGUGUUGGGGCACAGCCUUGUCAAAGAGGCUGGCCCUCAAAUUUAGUGGCGAGCUCGCUAAGACUCCGAGCGUAGUAAUUACUUCUCGCUUAGGUUGACUUAGCGGCCCUCUGCCGUAAAACCCCCUAAAUUUUUCUGAAAGUUGACCUCGGAUCAGGUAGGAAUACCCGCUGAACUUAAGCAUAUCAAUAAGCGGAGGA
RNAcentral lists this ribosomal RNA (601 nucleotides) under Greeneria uvicola. Its description in RNAcentral is "eukaryotic LSU rRNA". The stretch from base 223 to 376 matches the Rfam family "5.8S ribosomal RNA". Lineage: Eukaryota; Fungi; Ascomycota; Sordariomycetes; Diaporthales; Melanconiellaceae. The record is from RNAcentral.